RNAcentral lists this RNase P RNA (382 nucleotides) under Myxococcales bacterium. RNAcentral describes it as "RNase P RNA component class A". It matches the Rfam family "Bacterial RNase P class A". From Rfam's summary of the family: Ribonuclease P (RNase P) is a ubiquitous endoribonuclease, found in archaea, bacteria and eukarya as well as chloroplasts and mitochondria. Its best characterised activity is the generation of mature 5'-ends of tRNAs by cleaving the 5'-leader elements of precursor-tRNAs. Cellular RNase Ps are ribonucleoproteins. Lineage: Bacteria; Pseudomonadati; Myxococcota; Myxococcia; Myxococcales. The record is from RNAcentral.
CGAGAGCCGCAAGGCGAUCGCCGGCGCUCCUCCCGUCAGGGAGGGCGCGGGAGGUAAAGUCCGGGCUCCACAGGGUAGGGUGGUCGCUAACGGCGACCGGGGGUGACCCCAGGGAAAGUGCCACAGAGAGCAAACCGCCUCGCUGGCGCGCGAGCGCUCGAGGUCAGGGUGAAAGGGUGAGGUAAGAGCUCACCGGGGGGCCUGGUGACAGGUCCCCGCAUGGUAAACCCCACCCGGAGCAAGACCGAACAGAGGUGGGCCCCUCGGGGCCCAGGGGCGACCCGCUCCAUACCUCGGGUAGGUUGCUUGAGCCCGUCGGCAACGGCGGGCCUAGAUGAAUGAUCGUCCUCGCCAGAACCCGGCUUACCGCGGCUCUCGGCUC